UAAUUUUGAAUGUACAAACAAAUUGACCUUUCAAAAAGCACAUUUACCAAAUCCAAAACCUAAAUCCCCAAUCAGGUGAGCCCCAUUGUCGUCGAUGGUGAAGGAGGUGAAUAGUGGUGCCAUGUAACCAAAGCUUUGAAGAAUUGCUCCAUUGUGGCGCCUUGAAGCAGUUACCUCCUGUUCUCCUACUAGAAAAACGAAGUUAACUAGGUUUGAGGGUGUGGGAAUGUAAACUUGAGUUUACGAGUUGAUUAGUGAUUUUGAUAAACAUGCUCUCACUUCCUUUUUUAUUUGGUAAUUCUGGUUUUCAAUUCAAUGAUGAAUGCACUCAUUUGUAUGUUUUUAAGUGUGUUAGUGAAUGUAGUUAUCGGUACCUGUUAUGGUUGAAUGUGAUAUUAAAAGAAACAGAGUAUGCAUUUUUCUAGAGCAUUUGUUAUCAGUUUAACUGUAUUUGAAGGAACGCGACAUGGAAAGUCCCCACUCUGUGAACAGUUCAAGAAGAACUCUCCGUCUGUCAAAGCAGCGAAGGGCAACUGUGUCCUUUUUUUGACCCUGAUGACAAAACCUCUGGCUUUGGAUGUCUGGCGAUCAUGGCCCUAAGCCAUCUGAAGUUUAUGGUUUUUUAGGUUCUAUUAUUACCACUGUUGUUGCCACAGUUAUUUUCUUCAUAUGGGCAUGUGUUCCAGAAUCAUGGCAACAAUCUGCUGGCAUCUCGUACUAUCCUAGAGAUAUUGGGCUCUAGCAGUACCAACAUAUGUGAUGGUGGCCAUUCUUCUGAUGCUGGGAUUCUACAUUGGCCAUAACUUCAUAUCAACCCCUUCCCCUGCUCAUUUAAACGCAGUUUUUGAUGAAGUCAGCAGAAAUCCUUCGAGUAGCGAGUGUUCUCUAGAAGAUGAGAAACCCAUAGAUCCCAUUUCAGAUAUUGGCCUUGACAGAAUCAAUGAUAUCAUAUUCAUUAAUCCAAUGUUGUCACGGUGGGAAUUGCUGCCAAACAAGUGCUGCUAAUUUUGGUUGUUGUCGGGGAGGUUAUAGCUACGCAGGAAGGCCAGCAUACCAUUCUUCCUCGAAUUUUUUCUUCAAGGCUUCAAAUCCUGUGGUAACACACACAUACUCCAAUUUGGGAAGACCAGUUAAAGUUAUUUCGAUCAUUGGAAAGCUCAAUUGAAGCCCUGGUUUUGUGCUAUCUUGCCUCAUCACAGUGAAAAUGCUUGUCAUUGAACUACAAUUUCUAACCUCUAACAUCUUCAAAUUAUCAAGAUUUUUGGAAAGAUUAACUGGAAAAACAGUUCUCAAUUUCUCACAACCUUUGAUAUUUACGUUUUUCAGUUUCCAAAAUGAAUUUUCAGCAUCAUACUCCUCAUUCCAUAUUGUUGUCAAUUCACUAACCUGGGAAAUCACCAUUGUCUCCAGAUUAGGGCAAGAAACCUGCAUAAAUCAUAUGACAUUAAUCAAUACUAUUAGCAGUUUUUUAUCACAUGAUUGUUACUGCUGUAAUUAUCUAAGGGUUUCUGUAUUUGUUUGGUUUUUUAUACUUACAUCAUUGCUAUGCUUUGGUUAAGUAUUUAUAAAAAGGUUUAAGUACUAUACUUAAUCUUGCUAUGUUUUGGUUGAUAAACUACAUGAUUUAAUACCUUGUCAUGGAAAAGUGUAGCUGUAUUAUCAGUGGAAGAAGAGGAUCCUUCACUUGAGCAGAAACUGAUUAAUGCUGGGAGUCCUUGUAAGGUUAGAGAGCAUAAUUCAGGAAAUUCUAUGGGAUGAUUCUCUGCACCUUCAAAUAGCACAAUUGUCUUUAUGGAUGUGCACUGUGAAACUUUCAAAGUAGCAAUAUGAGGAAGACCAUUGAUCAUUGAUUUUGAGAAGAGACAGCCCAUUGCAUUGCACUUCUCUACUUUGAUGACUCUCAGUUUGAAGAAAGAUUUCUCAGAUAAAGGACCACCAUGGCAUAUGUACUCCAAAUUGCUUAGAAUGGUGAGAGACAGUGACUCCAAGUUCGGAAAAGUAUCAAGAGAAUCAUUACCUGACCCUGUGGAUAAGCAUUUGACUUCAGCAUUGUGUUGAAUGAAGAGAGACUGCACUUGUGGAAAGCCAUCACACUCCAUAUCAUUAACAACAUUCUGGACACCAUUCAGUGUAUCCAAGUACAAAACCUGAACUUCUUUCAGCAUCUUUUUUAUUCCAUUCUCUGAUUGAAACCUCCUGUUCAGCUUCAGUUUCAAUGUCUUCAAUUCAUGAUCACCAUAAUGUGCUCGGUCCCACCCGUUACCAAUGAAAAUUGUAUAUGAUCUUAGGUUUCCAAAGAACAAGUCCACAGGCCAUGCCUGCGGAUCAGGAACAUACAUGUCUUCUAUGUAUGCCAAGUGUUCCAAGUCUGUAAGCUCUUUCAAGCUUGCGUUCUUGUUUUCACUGCUAGACAUUUCAAUCUUCCAAUUACAGAAGGAGUUUCUCAAAUAUAAUUCUUCCAAGCUUGUCAAUUUGGAUAGGACAUUGGGUGGAAUCACUUGGAGAUUUGUGUCUCUUAAAUCCAAGAAUAGCAACUUCUCAAGCUUUACAAUUUGCGCAGGUAAUUGUUGGAUCCUACUUUCAAGGAGGCCUAGCAUUCGUAGAUUUGUGAGCUCACAAACUUCUGUAAUGUCUUCCAAUCCACAUUGAUACAUGGAUAAUGCUUCAAGGUCCUUUAAAACAACAAAACUAAGUGGCAGAUUUGGGCAAUGAAAGGAAACAAAAUCUAGCACUUUCAGAAGUUUAGUCUCCUCAAAAAAGGAAUCUGGAACAUCUAUUGUGGAAUUUUCCCUACUUAUCAGAAGAUGUUUCAAGUUUGGACACUGCAACCUUACGGGAAGCUUCAAAUCACCAACAGGAUGUAAGUUGCAGAAGUAAAGAUCUUUUAGCAAUUCUUCAGGUGGCCAUUCUCUGGAAAUCACUGAAGCUCUUCGAUCAUGUUGGGCCAUUCGAUAAGCAGUCUGAUAAUCUGCUGUUUCCAGAUUUUUGAAUACACCUGCCCACAUGUCUAUGUAGAUGCUAUAACUGUUAAUAAACCUUCUUCCCCUAAUAGUAAGAAGAUACAACAAUGAUUUGAGUUCCUCAUUUUCUUCCAAACAAUAGGACAAUAGUUUUGCUGGUGAAAUAUUUUCCUUCAACUGCAUCAAGGCAUCUGGGCCCUUAUUUUGUAAUGCCUUUGCUAGGGCAUAAAUUAAAGAAAUGGAACCUUCACAACUUCUCACUAUUUCUUCUACAAUGGAACUUUCCUGAUCUUCAUCAACACUUCCAACCAUCUUCUCAAACAACAUCUGAGCCUCUUCUUUUUGUAAUUCUUGUAAUUGAAACACUUUAGUAAGCUUAGAGGCACCCUUCAAAUAUUGUAUGAAGUUCAAAUUUCCUGAUGUCAACAGUACUUUGCACCCUUCAUGUUCAUUACCAGGAGGAACUCCAAAUUCCUCUAAGUCAAAUUCUUGUGGGUUCAAUUCCCCCCACGUAUCAUCAACUAUGAUGAGAGUCCUUUGCUCCCUUUUUA
Molecule: unclassified non-coding RNA, 3511 nt
Organism: Vigna unguiculata (cowpea)
Lineage: Eukaryota; Viridiplantae; Streptophyta; Magnoliopsida; Fabales; Fabaceae
Source: RefSeq, a predicted model, not a curated record